CUCAUAGCGUAUAUUUAAGUUGUUGCAGUUAAAAAGCUCGUAGUCGGAUUUUGGCUGAGAACGGUCGGUCCGCCGUUAGGUGUGCACUGACUGGUCUCAGCUUCCUGGUGAGGAGGUGUGCUUCAUCGCCACUUAGUCACCGUGGUUACUUUGAAAAAAUUAGAGUGUUCAAAGCGGGCUUACGCUUGAAUAUAUUAGCAUGGAAUAACACCAUAGGACUCCUGUCCUAUUUCGUUGGUCUCGGGACGGGAGUAAUGAUUAAGAGGAACAGUUGGGGGCAUUCGUAUUUCAUUGUCAGAGGUGAAAUUCUUGGAUUUAUGAAAGACGAACUUCUGCGAAAGCAUUUGCCAAGGAUGUUUUCAUUGAUCAAGAACGAAAGUUGGGGGCUCGAAGAUGAUUAGAUACCAUCCUAGUCUCAACCAUAAACGAUGCCGACUAGGGAUUGGCGGAUGUUAAUUGAUGACUCCGCCAGCACCUUAUGAGAAAUCAAAGUUUUUGGGUCCCGGGGGGAGUAUGGUCGCAAGGCUGAAACUUAAAGGAAUUGACGGAAGGGCACCACCAGGCGUGGAGCCUGCGGCUUAAUUUGACUCAACACGGGGAAACUUACCAGGUCCAGACAUAGUAAGGAUUGACAGAUUGAGAGCUCUUUCUUGAUUCUAUGGGUG
RNAcentral lists this ribosomal RNA (665 nucleotides) under uncultured eukaryote. Its description in RNAcentral is "SSU rRNA". It matches the Rfam family "Eukaryotic small subunit ribosomal RNA", at positions 591 to 1276 of the family's 1831-position model. The record is from RNAcentral.